AGCAGCCGCGGUAAUUCCAGCUCCAAUAGCGUAUAUUAAAGUUGUUGCAGUUAAAAAGCUCGUAGUUGAAUUUCGGGAUUAGUAAGUUGGUCGUGCCUCCGGUAUGUACUGGCUCCACUGGUUCCUCCUUCUUGAAGAACUGUAAUGUCAUUAAUUUGGUGUUGCAGGGAAACAGGACUGUUACUUUGAAAAAAUUAGAGUGUUUAAAGCAGGCUAACGCUUGAAUACAUUAGCAUGGAAUAAUGAAAUAGGACGUUUGACCCUAUUUUGUUGGUUUCUAGGAUUGACGUAAUGAUUAAUAGGGAUAGUUGGGGGCAUUAGUAUUCAAUUGUCAGAGGUGAAAUUCUUGGAUUUAUUGAAGACUAACUACUGCGAAAGCAUUUGCCAAGGAUGUUUUCAUUAAUCAAGAACGAAAGUUAGGGGAUCGGAGACGAUCAGAUACCGUCGUAGUCUUAACCAUAAACUAUGCCGACUAGGGAUCGGAUGAUGUUAAUUUUUAAUGACUCAUUCGGCGCCUUAC
This 520-nucleotide unclassified non-coding RNA is filed under the name uncultured Glomus. Its description in RNAcentral is "SSU rRNA". It matches the Rfam family "Eukaryotic small subunit ribosomal RNA", at positions 569 to 1091 of the family's 1831-position model. Lineage: Eukaryota; Fungi; Glomeromycota; Glomeromycetes; Glomerales; Glomeraceae. The record is from RNAcentral.